Molecule: unclassified non-coding RNA, 592 nt
Filed under: Hevea brasiliensis (rubber tree)
Lineage: Eukaryota; Viridiplantae; Streptophyta; Magnoliopsida; Malpighiales; Euphorbiaceae
Source: RNAcentral
UAAAAACUUAAAAGAAGAGAGAGAUUAGGUGUUAUUGUUGGUUUUUAUAUAGAAAAUUCAAGUGGUCCUUCUGCCCUUGGAACACAACUGGAAGUCUUAUGUCAAAUAUCAACCUGUUGUUCCAAGUGCUAAAUUCUCAAGUCGCCACAGUUUUGCUUAGAAGCCAUACUGCUGUAGCCUUUGUUCACUAAUGCACUCUAAGUUCUUGUUCUUGGUUAAGAAAUAUCAUGACAUGUUUGGACUUGGAGCAAAAUAUCAGUUAGUUAUUCCACAUCAUGAAAUGCAAGAUGAGAAAGGCUGUUCCUAAUGCAUAAGACUGCCAUCUAUGUGAGUGUUGGGACUUGGGAGGUCUAUCAGAUUUGGUGAAAUAACACUUAGUUAUUUCAAGCAGGGUAUUAAAUAUACAUAUCAGCUAGCAUGUGACAAAAUUUUUGGCUUUUUGGCUGUGUGAUGUGAUAUUCAUAUACACUCCCACUAAUUUGGAACUCAUAGUGAAACAGCUAUAUAUCAGGCGUAAUUGCUGUUGCUUCCCAUUUUAGUAACAUUGAAAUGGCUGAAAUGGAUCUUCAUCAUCAGAGGAGGAGAAAGAAGA